RNAcentral lists this ribosomal RNA (497 nucleotides) under uncultured bacterium. RNAcentral describes it as "partial 16S ribosomal RNA". It matches the Rfam family "Bacterial small subunit ribosomal RNA", at positions 28 to 507 of the family's 1533-position model. The record is from RNAcentral.
GAUGAACGCUGGCGGCGUGCCUAAUACAUGCAAGUCGAGCGAACAGACGAGGAGCUUGCUCCUCUGACGUUAGCGGCGGACGGGUGAGUAACACGUGGAUAACCUACCUAUAAGACUGGGAUAACUUCGGGAAACCGGAGCUAAUACCGGAUAAUAUAUUGAACCGCAUGGUUCAAUAGUGAAAGACGGUUUUGCUGUCACUUAUAGAUGGAUCCGCGCCGCAUUAGCUAGUUGGUAAGGUAACGGCUUACCAAGGCAACGAUGCGUAGCCGACCUGAGAGGGUGAUCGGCCACACUGGAACGGAGACACGGUCCAGACUCCGACGGGAGGCAGCAGCAGGGAAUCUUCCGCAAUGGGCGAAAGCCUGACGGAGCAACGCCGCGUGAGUGAUGAAGGUCUUCGGAUCGUAAAACUCUGUUAUUAGGGAAGAACAAAUGUGUAAGUAACUAUGCACGUCUUGACGGUACCUAAUCAGAAAGCCACGGCUAACUACGUG